This 329-nucleotide unclassified non-coding RNA is filed under the name Hevea brasiliensis (rubber tree). The record is from RNAcentral. Lineage: Eukaryota; Viridiplantae; Streptophyta; Magnoliopsida; Malpighiales; Euphorbiaceae.
CCUGGAUGCAUUUUCAAGGGUUCCCAAUUCAUCUGCCUCUUUUAUCCCUUCAGUCUGGCCAUCUCCCCUUGGUCUAGCUAUCCUUAGUAACCUCUCUAUAUUAAUAGAUCAGCAUCUUUAGAGCAUGUUUGAGUCGCUUGAGGGAAAUAAUAAAUUAAUUCAGGGGCAAAGAGAGCCAAACUUCAAUGGCAGAGUGUCUCUCCACAGUUUACCCAUUGCACAAAGCUAUCUGAGAAUUCCUCGAGGACAUUGGAAUUCUGAGAACUCCAUAGGAUAACUCCAUUUCUGUCUCCUGCCUUACCUUCAUGCUGGAUCCAUAUUCACUAGUG